Molecule: ribosomal RNA, 1108 nt
Filed under: Neolissochilus qiaojiensis
Lineage: Eukaryota; Metazoa; Chordata; Actinopteri; Cypriniformes; Cyprinidae
Description: partial large subunit ribosomal RNA
Rfam family: Bacterial large subunit ribosomal RNA
Source: RNAcentral
ACAGCUAGCUUAAUCACUAAAAUAACUAAACAAUAUAAAUAAAUAAAACAAGCCUAACACCAUAAACUAAAACAUUCUUUUACCUAAGUAUGGGAGACAGAAAAGGUUCAACCAAAGCAAUAGAAAUAGUACCGCAAGGGAAAGCUGAAAGAGAAAUGAAAUAACCCAUAUAAGCACUAAAAAGCAAAGAUUAAACCCUGUACCUUUUGCAUCAUGAUUUAGCCAGUCCACCCAAGCAAAGAGACCUUUAGUUUGAAACCCCGAAACCAGGUGAGCUACCCCGAGACAGCCUAUUAAGGGCUAACCCGUCUCUGUGGCAAAAGAGUGGGAAGAGCUCCGGGUAGAAGUGACAGACCUACCGAACCUGGUGAUAGCUGGUUGCCUAAGAAAUGAAUAGAAGUUCAGCCUCAUAUGCCUCAAAUCAAACAAACCAAGACAUUAAGAGAAACACAUGAGAGUUAGUUAAAAGGGGUACAGCCCCUUUAACAAAGGACACAACCUUAUCAGGAGGAUAAAGAUCAUAAUACAUAAAACAUUCCGUUCUAGUGGGCCUAAAAGCAGCCACCUACACAGAAAGCGUUAAAGCUCAGACAGACAAAAGUUUAUUAUUCUGAUAAAAAAUCUUAUUCCCCUAAAUAUUAUUAGGCCAAUCCAUGCCCCCAUGGAAAAAAUUAUGCUAAAAUGAGUAACAAGAAGACCCGCCCUUCUCCCAGCACAAGUGUAAGCCAGACUGGACAAACCACUGGCAACCAACGAACUCAGCCCAAGAGAGUAUUGCGAAUCACAAAAACUCCAAGAAGAACCCGCAACUAAACAAUCGUUACCCCCACACUGGAGUGCUACUAUAGGAAAGACUAAAAGAAAAAGAAGGAACUCGGCAAACACAAGCCUCGCCUGUUUACCAAAAACAUCGCCUCCUGCAAUACAAUCAAGUAUAGGAGGUCCAGCCUGCCCAGUGACCACAAGUUCAACGGCCGCGGUAUUUUGACCGUGCAAAGGUAGCGCAAUCACUUGUCUUUUAAAUAGAGACCUGUAUGAAUGGCUAAACGAGGGCUUAACUGUCUCCCUUUUCAGGUCAGUGAAAUUGAUCUACCCGUGCAGAGGCGGG